Small nuclear RNA from Callithrix jacchus (white-tufted-ear marmoset), 139 nucleotides. Its record names the gene U4. It matches the Rfam family "U4 spliceosomal RNA". Rfam says of the family: U4 small nuclear RNA (U4 snRNA) is a component of the major U2-dependent spliceosome. The record is from Ensembl. NCBI's taxonomy places the organism in Eukaryota, Metazoa, Chordata, Mammalia, Primates, Cebidae.
AGCCUUGCACAGUGGCAGUGUUGUGGCCAGGAAGUUUAUCCAAAGCGCGAUUAUUGCUAAUUGGAAAUUUUCCCACUACCCCGCCGAGACGACUUACAAUAUAGUCGGUAUUGGCCAUUUUUGACAGUCUCCACAGAGA